UACAGAGGAGCCAAGCGUUGUCCGGAUUGACUGGGCGUAAAGCGCACGCAGGCGGUCUGGCGCGUGGGGUGUGAAAUCUGGCCGCUUAACGGCCAGGCGCCAUCCCAUACGGCCGGACUGGAGGGCUGCAGAGGUCGAUGGAAUUGCCGGUGUAGUGGUGAAAUGCGUAGAUAUCAGGAAGAACACCAAUGGCGAAAGCAGCUUUCUGGGACGGUACUGACGCUGAGACGCGAAAGCGUGGGGAGCGAACAGG
This 253-nucleotide ribosomal RNA is filed under the name uncultured bacterium. Its description in RNAcentral is "partial 16S ribosomal RNA". It matches the Rfam family "Bacterial small subunit ribosomal RNA", at positions 524 to 776 of the family's 1533-position model. The record is from RNAcentral.